UUCAAAAGGUUUCUAAACGUUUUGUUGGU
This 29-nucleotide small RNA is filed under the name Bombyx mori (domestic silkworm). RNAcentral's name for it is "ovarian small RNA-36923". Lineage: Eukaryota; Metazoa; Arthropoda; Insecta; Lepidoptera; Bombycidae. The record is from RNAcentral.